GGGAAGGUAGCUCAGAGGUAGAGCGCUUGCCUUGCAUGCAAGAGGCCUGGGUUCCAUUCCCCAGCACCA
Dipodomys ordii (Ord's kangaroo rat) is the source of this 69-nucleotide non-coding RNA. Lineage: Eukaryota; Metazoa; Chordata; Mammalia; Rodentia; Heteromyidae. The record is from Rfam.